CAGCAGCCGCGGGAAUACGUAGGGUGCGAGCGUUAAUCGGAAUUACUGGGCGUAAAGCGUGCGCAGGCGGUUUUGUAAGACAGGCGUGAAAUCCCCGGGCUCAACCUGGGAAUGGCGCUUGUGACUGCAAAGCUAGAGUGCGGCAGAGGGGGAUGGAAUUCCGCGUGUAGCAGUGAAAUGCGUAGAUAUGCGGAGGAACACCGAUGGCGAAGGCAAUCCCCUGGGCCUGCACUGACGCUCAUGCACGAAAGCGUGGGGAGCAAACAGGAUUAGAUACCCGUGUAGUCCCUGUCUCUUAUAC
This 301-nucleotide ribosomal RNA is filed under the name uncultured bacterium. RNAcentral's name for it is "partial 16S ribosomal RNA". It matches the Rfam family "Bacterial small subunit ribosomal RNA", at positions 509 to 807 of the family's 1533-position model. The record is from RNAcentral.